Molecule: ribosomal RNA, 301 nt
Filed under: uncultured bacterium
Lineage: Bacteria
Description: partial 16S ribosomal RNA
Rfam family: Bacterial small subunit ribosomal RNA
Source: RNAcentral
CAGUAGCCGCGGGAAUACGUAGGGUGCGAGCGUUAAUCGGAAUUACUGGGAGUAAAGCGUGCGCAGGCGGUUAUAUAAGACAGAUGUGAAAUCCCCGGGCUCAACCUGGGACCUGCAUUUGUGACUGUAUAGCUAGAGUACGGUAGAGGGGGAUGGAAUUCCGCGUGUAGCAGUGAAAUGCGUAGAAAUGCGGAGGAACACCGAUGGCGAAGGCAAUCCCCUGGACCUGUACUGGCGCUCAUGCACGAAAGCGUGGGGAGCAAACAGGAUUAGAUACCCGAGUAGUCCCUGUCUCUUAUAC